UCCUGGUGCACUUCUUCAGGAUGGACGAAUUGAUUAUGGAGAAUUUGUUGCUAUGAUGCAAAAAGGAAAUCCGUGUGGUGUAGGGAGACGAACAAUGCGAAAUAGUCUGAAUUUGAGCAUGAGAGAUGCACCGGGAGCCCAUUAGCUUCUCAGACAGACACAUCUCUGGUAGUUCGCAGGUUGUGUACAGAGAAGAGACCAGAGGCAAUAAACUUUCAUGAUAACAUGGUGUCCCCUAUAACAUCCAGUACCUUCGAGUUUGAGUAGAAGAAGAUGAGUCAAUGACUGUCGGACUGCUAUUUGCCUCCACGAAUUUUUGUGAGAUUUAUAGUCGUUAGUGUGUGAAAAUGAUCCAACUAAUGUGUAUUUUAGUUGAUGAGUUUCAUUCUUGCUUCAAAUUAUUAAACUAGGUUUUUUUUCUUAUAUAUCUUAUUCCGUGAAUGAUUUUCGCCCUUUGUGUAAUUUAUGUUAUUUAUUUUGAGGCUUGUUUAUAGUAAUACUGGAAUCUGUAUGUUGUUCUUUAUGGGAGAAUUUUUAAUUUGUUCAA
This is a non-coding RNA of Nicotiana tabacum (common tobacco), 547 nucleotides long. The record is from RefSeq and is a predicted model, not a curated record. Lineage: Eukaryota; Viridiplantae; Streptophyta; Magnoliopsida; Solanales; Solanaceae.